This 228-nucleotide ribosomal RNA is filed under the name uncultured Pseudomonadales bacterium. RNAcentral's name for it is "partial 16S ribosomal RNA". It matches the Rfam family "Bacterial small subunit ribosomal RNA", at positions 103 to 334 of the family's 1533-position model. Lineage: Bacteria; Pseudomonadati; Pseudomonadota; Gammaproteobacteria; Pseudomonadales. The record is from RNAcentral.
CGGGUGAGUAAUGCCUAGGAAUCUGCCUGGUAGUGGGGGACAACGUUUCGAAAGGAACGCUAAUACCGCAUACGUCCUACGGGAGAAAGCAGGGGACCUUCGGGCCUUGCGCUAUCAGAUGAGCCUAGGUCGGAUUAGCUAGUUGGUGAGGUAAUGGCUCACCAAGGCGACGAUCCGUAACUGGUCUGAGAGGAUGAUCAGUCACACUGGAACUGAGACACGGUCCAG